RNAcentral lists this long non-coding RNA (670 nucleotides) under Fukomys damarensis (Damara mole-rat). Its description in RNAcentral is "lncRNA (ENSFDAG00000029012.1)". Lineage: Eukaryota; Metazoa; Chordata; Mammalia; Rodentia; Bathyergidae. The record is from RNAcentral.
UCCCACUGGUGUACCCUCCUCCCUGUGCUGUGGUACAGGUCCUGUUAAAGACUCGCUCCAAAGAUCCUGUAAAUCUGCCCAUGAUUUCUCAGGUAGUAUGAGCUCAGAAUGUCCUAUAAAUCUGAUACUCAGGAUUAUUGUCCGAAGUAGCAUAGACAAAACGGUUACUUUGAAGGAAAGAGCAAGAAAUGCUACGGGGUUCCAGAGACCGGCAGCCAAUGAAGAUCAGCCACAGAGAGCAGCAAGUGGCAGAGUGGAUCCAUGGGAUUCGGCGUGAACUGGCAUCGAGCACCGGUGGCUGGCAGUCUCUGAGAACAGCACCCAGCAGGGUGUCCAGCUGGCAGUGGCAGAGAUCAGAAGCCGGCUGUGUUGACCAAAGGUCUCAGCGAGGACUCGGCCGUGACAGAGAUCAUCACUUUGCCUCCUACAACUUCGUACGCACACACUGUCUCUUCCCUCUCUCGUGUUCCGGAGCGCCUUCCACUGCCAAAAGACAAAAGCUUCUCACUUAGCAUCUCUUCCCUGCCCAGCACGGUGAAGGUGGAUUUUGGACUCCUCACCUCCACUGUGUGUUUGUGCCCUGUCCUGCUCUCGCCCGCGUUUCCUCCUCGCUGCGCUGUUGAGCCGCCCGGGGCCACACCUGAUCCAGUGGGCAGUUCUGCGACCGCGG